GGAAGACUGCUGACCUGACAGUUGUGUAGAAAACCAUCAUUGACAAAGCCUCAAAAGCCUUGAGUCCAGCAUUUGGGUCCUCCCACCUACUACCUGCUUCACCACACGAACCGUGACAUCGCUCUACAGUCUCCAUCAUCCAAACCUUCUGCAGGGAAAACAGGAUUGGAAACUUCUCAGUGAACAACAAGAAUAGGAGAUCUGUAAUGCAAUCACAUUGAGACAGAUUCGCACUGCAAUCCUACAAGACAAUGCCAUAUUCCAAAAUGUCAACUCUAUAAGCAUCUCCACAAUAGACCGGAUAUUGAAGAAUCAGAUGACAAUGAAGCAAACUUACAGGGUACUAUUUAAGAGGAACUCUGAGAGUGAAAGAGCUGUGGUACCAGUAUGUACAUAGGAGAAUGGCAUUGUAAGGAAAUGAGACCAUCACAUCCUCGUGUUUGUGGAUGAAGCUGGCUUCAACCUGGCCAAGGGCCGAAGACGUGGCCGUAAUAUUAUUGGCCACAGUGGAUGUCCCAGGCCAGCGAGGGGGCAAUAUAACUGUGUGCUGCCAUAUCUGAGAAUGGUGUGGCCACUCACAUCCCCAGUCUUGGCCCAUACAAUACAUAGAAGCUCCUCAUCAUCUUGGACCGCCUUCAUUUGGAUUUGAUCCCUGAAAAUGAGAGAAGUCUCUCGUAGGGCCUCACCUACCACAAUAUGUCAUUGUAUGGGACAAUGUGAAUUUCCAUCGUGGCCCGCGCAUCAGGUUCACUACUCAUCCAAGGAUGGUCAUGGUGUUCCUACCACCUUACACUCCUUUCCUCAAUCCUAUUGAGGAGUAUUUCUCUGCUUGGAGGUAGUGUAUGAGAAUUGGGCUCAAGAUCAGAGGUCCCUGCUCCAUGCAAUGGACGCUGCGUGUGAGGAUAUUGCAGGAGAUCAGUGUAGGGGAUGGUUACGACAUGCACGCCGUUUCUUCCCUCGUUGCAUCGCAAGGGAGAAUAUACGCUAUGAUGUGGACGAGAAUCUGUGGCCAAACAGCAGCGUGUGGAUGGCCAGGAGGGUGAGAACUGUGACCAUUGAAGAACUGUUAGUUGUGAAACUCCAGCUUUAUUUACAGCACUGUAGGCUGCAUAUAAUUCAUUGUUUUUGAGUGUUUAUAUUACAGUAUAUUAUGCUGUAUACACUUUCUUUUUACUCUGAUGUAUGGAAGUUACUUUGUGUGUGAAUAAAGUACCCUAAAGUCCUA
Micropterus dolomieu (smallmouth bass) is the source of this 1225-nucleotide long non-coding RNA. RefSeq lists it as uncharacterized. The record is from RefSeq and is a predicted model, not a curated record. NCBI's taxonomy places the organism in Eukaryota, Metazoa, Chordata, Actinopteri, Centrarchiformes, Centrarchidae. The transcript is spliced from 4 exons.